This 1395-nucleotide ribosomal RNA is filed under the name Triticum aestivum (bread wheat). Its description in RNAcentral is "partial small subunit ribosomal RNA". The record is from RNAcentral. Lineage: Eukaryota; Viridiplantae; Streptophyta; Magnoliopsida; Poales; Poaceae.
UUCCCGCUGCGGUGGGAGAGCACCGGCGACCAGUGGUGGUACGCCUCGCCCAUCGACUGGGCGGCCGCCGACGGCCACUACGACAUCGUCCGCCAGCUGCUGCACCUCGACCCCAACCUCCUCAUCAAGCUCACCUCGCUCCGCCGGAUCCGCCGCCUCGAGGCGCUCUGGGACGACGACGCACGCUUCGUCCACGCGCCCCGCCACCGCGCCUCCGUCGCCCGUGGCCUGCUGCUGGAAUGCGAGUGCAAGCACGGCGCCGAGAACACGCUGCUCCGGGCCGGCUACGGCGGAUGGCUACUCUACACGGCGGCCUCCGCGGGGGACGCGGGCUUCGUGCAGGAGCUGCUGGACAGGGACCCGCUGCUCGUCUUCGGCGAGGGCGAGUACGGGGUCACGGACAUGUUCUAUGCGGCGGCGAGGGGCGGCAACGCCGACCUGUUCAGGAUGCUGCUGGACCACGCCAUGUCCCCGAGGUGCUCGACGUAUGGUCGCGACGGGGAUGGCGCCGGCGCCGGCGGCCGCGCCUCGGUGUUCCGGCUGGAGAUGAUGAGCAGGGCUGUACACGCUGCCGCCAGAGGAGGGAGCGUGCGGAUGCUGAAGGAGCUCAUCGACGGUCGCUCCGACGUGUCGGCGUAUCUUGAUAUCCGUGGAUCCACCGUGCUUCAUGCAGCUGCUGGGAGAGGGCAGCUCGAGGUUGUCAAGUACCUGAUGGCCUCUUUCGACAUGAUCAACUCAACCGACAACCAAGGGAACACUGCACUACAUGUAGCGGCCUACCGAGGGCACCUGCCCGUUGUAAACGCACUGGUUGCUGCAUCUCCAUCAGCCAUAUCAGCUGUCAACAAUGCAGGCGAUACGUUCCUCCACUCGGCGAUCGCAGGGUUCAGAACCCCGGGGUUCCGUCGGCUCGACCGGCAGCUGGAGCUCACCAAGCAUCUCAUUCGAGAGAGAGCCGCAGACAUCAGGAAGAUCAUCAACCUGAGAAACGACGCGGGCCUCACCGCCCUGCACAUGGCUGUGGUUGGCUGCGUGCACCCGGACCUCGUCGAGCUCCUGAUGACCACGCCGUCCAUCGACCUUAACGUCGAAGAUGCUGACGGCAUGACCCCGCUGGCGCUGCUCAAGGAGCAGCUGCGAUCAACCACGUCGGAGAGGCUCAUCAAGCAGAUAGUCUCCGCCGGAGGGGUGCUGAGCUCGAGCGUGCUGAGAAGCCGGUCGGCCGUCGUUUCGCAGAUAAAGAUGCGGGGAGGGAUUGCGAUCAGUCCGGGCACCAUGUUCAGGAUAUCGGAUGCGGAGAUAUUGUUGCACUCGGGCAUUGCGGCGACGGAGUCCCGAAGGGCUAGCUCGUGCUCUAGCGAUGGCAAGUGUGACCCUGUACAUGCGGAUGCAAAC